CAUAGUGUCGGUCGCGAGUGCCACUGCGCGACGCUUGCUCAAAGCUGAAGGCAGGUCAACUUCUUUGGGGGCGCGAGCCAUUCCUCAGGCAUCUUCCUAGAGGAGGCGUUGGUUGAGCAGCAGCGUCAUGUCGGGCAGGGAAGGCGGCAAGAAAAAACCCCUGAAGAUGGCAAAAAAGGAAGGGAAAGAUUAUGACGAGCAUGACCUGGAGUUCAAGCAAAAACAAAAAGAGCAGCAGAAGGCUCUUAAAGAGGCAGCAGCAAAGGCUGCUGGAAAAGGACCCCUUGCUACCGGAGGCAUUAAGAAGUCUGGGAAGAAAUGAAGCUCUUCGGAACACUGAUGACUGAUUGUUGUACAAAACUUAAUGAAUUUUUUGCCCAGGGGUGUUCCUC
Molecule: long non-coding RNA, 392 nt
Organism: Rhipicephalus microplus (southern cattle tick)
Lineage: Eukaryota; Metazoa; Arthropoda; Arachnida; Ixodida; Ixodidae
Source: RefSeq, a predicted model, not a curated record